Molecule: long non-coding RNA, 197 nt
Organism: Thalassophryne amazonica
Lineage: Eukaryota; Metazoa; Chordata; Actinopteri; Batrachoidiformes; Batrachoididae
Exons: 3
Source: RefSeq, a predicted model, not a curated record
GAUGUCUGAUGAGGGUCAAAGGACUUUUUCAGUCUGUUGGUCCUGCACUUGGGAAGGAGCAGCCUGUGGCUGAAGACGCUCCUCUGGUUGUUGAUGACGGUGUGUAGAGGGUGACUGGCAUCGUCCAUAAUGUCCAGUAGUUUGUCCAGUGUUCUUUUCUCUGCUACCGUCACCAGAGAGUCCAACUUCAUGCCAAC